CGGUUAUACGAGAGGCCCCAGUUGAUAACAUUACGGCGUAAAGGGUGGUUAAGGAAUAAAAUAAAAUAAAGCCGAACAGCCCCCCGGCCGUCAUACGCUUCCGGGCGCUAGAAGUCCAGCUUUACGAAAGUGGCUUUAAUGUGAAUAUACCUGACCCCACGAAAGCUGAGAAACAAACUGGGAUUAGAUACCCCACUAUGCUCAGCCAUAAACCCAGACAUUUACGUACGACCACGUGUCCGCUAGGGUACUACAACCUUAUUGGCUUAAAACCCAAAGGACCUGACGGUGCCUCAGACCCCCCUAGAGGAGCCUGUUCUAGAACCGAUAACCCCCGUUAAACCUCACCACUUCUAGUUUACCCAGCCUAUAUACCGCCGUCGCCAGCUUACCCUGUGAAGGUAAUAAUAGUAAGCAAAAGGGGCACAACCCAGAACGUCAGGUCGAGGUGUAGCGCACGAAGUGGGAAGAAAUGGGCUACAUUUUCUAAUACAGAAUACUACGAAUAUGCAACAUGAAAUAGUGCUUGAAGGAGGAUUUAGUAGUAAAAAGGAAAAAGAGUGUCCUUUUGAACCCGGCUCUGAGACGCGUACACACCGCCCGUCACUCUCCCCUGUCAAAAUGCAACAGCUAUACCUAAUUCAAAAGCGCUGACAAGGGGAGGCAAGUCGUAACAUGGUAAGUGUACCGGAAGGUGCACUUGG
RNAcentral lists this ribosomal RNA (704 nucleotides) under Acheilognathus imberbis. RNAcentral's name for it is "partial 12S ribosomal RNA". It matches the Rfam family "Bacterial small subunit ribosomal RNA", at positions 518 to 1521 of the family's 1533-position model. Lineage: Eukaryota; Metazoa; Chordata; Actinopteri; Cypriniformes; Acheilognathidae. The record is from RNAcentral.